AGGGAAGAGGUGAACGCUGGUAAGAAGAGUUUAAGGCAAGAAAGGAAGCGCUUUCCUAGGCUACCCAGCCAAAGGACUGCUAUGCUUGGCACAAAUGGGAAGAUGCUGACCAACCAUACCCUCAUUUACUGUGAGGUUUGCUUCGAAUGGUACAAACAUUUCUUCAGAUUUAGAAGCUGGUUGCUCAGUUGGUGAACAGGUAGGGAUAGACCCACCCACACACACAAACCCCAUCACCACCCUAUAUACAGUAUCUCUUGCAGCUACAACUUUGGACCCAAUAAAAGGCUUCUCUCUAGUGGCCUUUUCUUGCCCACUUCUAGAAGCAGAUACAGUGCUGUAGCAGCAAUGAUAAAAGCAGCCAAGUGGCAACAGACACAACAGCCGAGCAUCCUGAACAUCAAGCCAUAGAAGUGACUGCACGAGCUGAGAGAACCCAUCCUUGGUUCUACCUUGGUAUCAAAUCCCUGGCUCUUCUUACAUUCUCGCACAUGCUAUGGGUCAUGUAUACCAAGAAACACAAAACACUGGAAACAGGAGAACUACCAACAAACAGAAUGGAGAGCUCUGGUCGCUUCUCAAGCACAGAGACUGCUCAGAUACAGAGCAAGGGGAAGAAGUGCUGAUAUCAUCAAAGGACUGACACAGAAGUAAUCCUGUAUUGGUGGCCAGGACCUGGCCCCCCAGUUCCAGCAGACUCCAGCAGCUCAGGUGCAGGUCACAGCAGUCAGAAGAACAGAGACCCUCCUGCUGCAUCAGAGGCCAAGCAAGCAGCCAGAAGGCAAGAUUCCAGUGUGGUCAGAGGUCAAACAGGCUUCUAGAAAUCCAGGGAACAAAGGUGAGAAAACCAAAGACGAAACAGAGAUGUAGGGAAACAACACCCAUCCAACAAAGGCAACUCAAUAGUCAGCACCUAGACCUACAAUCAUCCUAAAUCCGGAUACCUAAACUCCAGUGUAAGGACAACAGGUCAACAACAGCCAGGGCAACAUGGCACCACCAGAACUAGGUCAGCAAGACCUGAAUAUUCCAAUGCAGCUGGAACACAAAAAAAGACCUUAAAACCAACUUUACGAUGAUGAUAAAGUUCCUCAAACAGGAAAUGCAAAAAAAUCCCUCAAAGAAAUUAAUGAAAAAAAUUGUAGGAAAUCAAUUCAUCCUUCAAAGAAUGCCAAGCCUCCCCGUUCCAAAUUAAACAAGCAGGCAAAGGAAACUGUUCAAGACCAGAAAAUGGAGAUAGAAGCAAUAAAGAAAACACAAACUGAUGAAAUUUUGAAAAUGGGAAAUCGAGGUAAGAUAACAGGAAUUACUCAUUAACAGAGUACAAGAAUUGGAAGGGAGAAUCUCAGGAGUUGAGUUGAAGAUAUGAUAGAAGAAAUAGAUUCAUCAGUCAAAGAAAAUGUUAAAUCUAAAAAACACCUAACACAAAACAUCCAGGAACUCCGUGAUACUAUGAAAAGACCAAACGUCAGAAUAAUAGGAAUGGAAGAAGGAUUCCAGCUCAGGAACCCAAAAAAAUAUUUAAACAAAUUCGUAGAAGAAAACUGUCCUCACCUAAAGAAGGUGUCUUAGUUAGGGUCUUAUUGCUGUGAACAGACCAAUGUAAAUUUUAUAAAGGACAUUUAAUUGGGGCU
This 1634-nucleotide small RNA is filed under the name Rattus norvegicus (Norway rat). RNAcentral describes it as "uncharacterized LOC108350015". The record is from RNAcentral. Lineage: Eukaryota; Metazoa; Chordata; Mammalia; Rodentia; Muridae.